GAUGAUCCUCCAUAAAGUCCUUUGUCUUCUACCAGGUACUGUCGGAAAACCAUUUCUGGCUGCUCUCGCUGCUUUACUAUUGUCAGCUAGGAAAAAUAACAAGGAAGUCAGAGAUGAUGGUCUGAUGAUCUGAUUGAGCUAUGAGUGGAGUUAAUGGAGCCACACAUGCAAAACAAUGUCCCCCUGCCUGCUUCCUGUAUAAUUUGGAGGAGCCAUGGUAUCCCCUCACUUCCUCUCACCAGGUGAAACCACCAGAAAGGUCUGCAGUUACCAGCUGCAGCAAGGAAGGGGAAAAUGGCCCAUAAUAUCCUGAAUGUUGUAAAGGCCUGCGUCUAGGUGAAUGUCUUACACUUCUGCAGGGAAUAGCACCGUAAUAAACCACCAUCAUCUGUACAUUUCAAAUUCUAGGAGACUUUAAUAUUGAAUCUUCUCAAUAUUAACUUGAGAAGGAAGAUGGGUGAGUAGCUGGGACUUGGUAAUAAGGCAUAAUUUUCCUGAAUUAUAGAUAUUUUAUAUUCUUUUACCCAAACUUGAGGCCUUGAAGGGCUUAGAAGGGCUAGGAUAACAAAACUCAGAGAUCACAAUUCUGAAGUUAUAAAAAAAUUUUAAAACAUGUUCUGAAUGAUACUUCUGUAAUUAAGUAGUUUUAAGCACUGAAGCAGUCAUUCCACAGUCUGUUAAUGAAAUCAGUUGCUAUUAAGCCAUGAAGAUCUGCAUGAUUACUAAAUUAGUACUUACUAAAAUAAUCCAUGGUUAACCUGUGGUGAUAUCUAUUUCUUUUUAUGUUUGUAUCUGUUAAGUGGGUAGAUUUUUAAGGUCAGUGUGAGUUUUCUAUCAAAGAUCAUGUUAUAAAAAUAUAGGACAUGCAUUUUAAAAGUCUGUAAUGAAAUUAAAAAAACAAAAACUUGAAAUGCCAAUUAUGGAAACAGCCCAAAUGUCCAUUGACUGAUGAAUGGAUAAAGAAGAUGUGGUAUAUAUACAUGACGGAAUAUUACUUGGUGAUCAAAAAGAAUGAAAUCUUGCCAUUUGCAACAACAUGGAUGGAACUAGAGUGUAUUAUGCUAAGCGAAAUAAGGUAGUCAGAAAAAGAAAAAUAUAAUAUGAUUUCACUCAGAUGUGGCAUUUAAGAAACAAAACAGAUGAACGCAGGGGAAGGGAAGGAAAAAGAAGAUAAAAACAGAGAGGAGGCAAACCAUAAGAGACUCUUAAAUAUAGAGAACAAAGUGUUGUGUUGUUGGAGGGGAGGUGGGGGAUGGGCUAAAUGGGUGAUGGGCAUCAAGGAGGGCACUUGUUAGGAUGAGCAUUGGGUGUUAUAUGUAAGCAAUGAAUUACUGGGUUCUAUUCCUGAAAUCAGUAUUACACUGUAUGUUAACUAACUUGAAUAUAAAUAAAUUAAUUAAAAAAUAAUAGUAAAAUCUUUUUAAAAAUUUGAAUAAAGGAAAAAAUAAAAUCUUAUUCUUACCUUCAUUGAAUAUGGCCUCUUUUGUUGGAUAAUACUCAUUAUCAUUCUGAGUGUUUGAGAGUACGGGUUUCCAAUCUCAGGCAGUAAUGUCUAAAUUUGAGAAAAUCAAAGUUUAAGCUUCAGUGUAGUUGGUAAUGAGAUUACUAGAAUGUUAAAGUUAAAAAAAAAAUCCUUCUACACCAUAUAUUUGAUUUUUGGCUUCGUCUGUUUACCUAAAAACCAAAAAUUGUGAAAAAAUGCACUGAAAAUUAUUCAUUCUUAUUGGCAUACAUUUCCACCAAUUUACUCUCCAUCAUUUGAAAAUAAAUAUUGUCUGAAAUUUGACACAUGUACAUCACUUAAAUGACACAACGGGUAUAUGUUUUAUGCAAAGGAUAUCUUUGGAUCAUACACCAUGAUGUUUAAUCCCUCUGUAAGAUGUCUCUUCCAAGGCUUUGUCACAGGAGAAAAGGAUGUACUUUAUUCCUUCAGUGGAUCAGUUGCAGGACCGUGAAUCAUGACCAUGUUUAGAAAACACCAUCCAAAUACCACUGUUCCAAGAUUAAAACAAACCACCAAAUGCUGAUUUCUCAAGGGGAAUGUGCCCCCUGAGAUGUUUCUGAAAUCUGGCUAAUAGUUUAUAAAAGAUAACUACUGCACAUGGCCUUCAGGGGACAUGAAGAAUCUGAAUUUCAUUUCUUCCAGUAAGACAGUAAAAUUCAGGGCACCUGGGUGGCUCAGUCGGUUAAGUGACUUCAGCUCAGAUCAUGAUCUUGCAACUCGUGAGUUUGAGCUCCGUGUCGGGCUCUGUGCUGACAGCUCAGAGCCUGAAGCCUGCUUCAGAUUCUGUCUCCCUCUUUCUCUGACCCUCCCUCGCUCAUGUUCUCUCACUCUCAAAAAUAAAUAAACAUUAAAAAAAAUUGUUUUAAUAAAAUAAAUGGGAAAACUUAAAAAAAAUGUAGAACAUUUUACCACAAAGUCUCAAGCCUCAGGAAAAGAUCAUGGACGGUAUUUUUCACAGGAAUUGUAAAAAAAAGAAAGAAAGAAAAAGGCAGAAAAUUCAUUAUUUAUAUUUACAUUCCAUCCCCUAUGCGUAUUUUUUUACAUUAAGGUAGAUCUUUUUAUGUAACAAACAACAUAAGUAUACAUCACAUACAUAUUUUGAAGUGCCAACUGUCUCUAAAAUCAAAGUGACAUUUGCUUUUUCUUUUGUUUUAUUUUUUUGAAGAAGGUCGAAGGAGGCACACUGGUAUAAGCACAAACCUACUAAUCUGCUGCUCUGUGGUAGAGAGACUGGUGAUUUCAUAUGUACAUUCAGCAAAUUCAGCAAAUACAUAUUUAACACUUACUCUAACAAUACAUUGUGACAGAUGAGGAGGCUUCCUUAAAUUUUAUAUAAACAUUCUUCAGAUUCACAGUCCUUUGUCUAUUGAACUUGAACUUUUUUAUUUUUUAAAAAUUGCAUUUCUAAUCAUUCCUUAAUUUUAACCACAUGCAAAGAUCUUACUAUUUCUAAGUCUUUAGAAAUAGUCUCUUAAUGGGAUAUGGACACCUUUAAUUCUUUUAAAAUAUAAAUAUAUAUAUAUGUACACACACACACAUAUAUAUAUACAUGUACACACACACACACACACAUAUACAUAUAUAUAUAUUUUUUUUUUUUUUUGAGAGGGAGAGAGGGAGAGUGUGUGUGGGGGGAGAAGGGCAGAGGGAGAAGUAAAGAGAGAAUCUUAAGCAGGCUCCACAUCCGGUACGGAACCCAACUCGAGACUCAAGAUCACAACAGUGAGAUCAUGACGUGCCCUGAAGUCACGAGUCAGAUGCUUAACCAACUAAGCCACCCAGGCGUCCCCAAAAUAUAUUUUUGACAUUCAUAACAGAUAUGCAGCAUCCUAAGCUGACCACCUACAGAGGUGGAAUUUUGAUCCUGCUCGUUCCUCCAGGAUAUUAUGUAUUUACCUUCAUAACAGAAAUUGGGGAAUUAACUAGACUUAAUUCAUCUUGCCAUCAUACAAGUGAGGCCUCAGGGAACAAACUAUCUGCUGAGUUCUACAUGUGAAUUCGUAAGAAAUGCACCAUGAAGUACAAUAAGACAAUAACCUUCAUAGCAAUGGUGCUCAUGCAACAAUGGUCUACAAAUAAGAUUUGCAAUAAAUACUCUCAAACAAAUUACAACUGCUGGUUUUUCCUAGGAUACUUUAAAAAUAAAGUCAUUUGUAUUCAUUUUACAACAAAUCCACAAUCUCUUUUGUAAUGAGUGGAGUAUAUAACUUAUUUAAAACAAAGGGGAAUAAAACCUGUUUUUGUGAGAUUGUUAUUUUGCAACUCAUUAAUCUGACACAGUUUUAUUCUGUAGCUAAAUAUGGAUGCAAGAUUUCUGCUUUCUUUUGAAUAUUGAGUUCAACACCAGAGAAGAGUACCGAGUGUAAGAACUGAAUUCGCUCUCUACCUCUGCCACUUGCUACCUGAAAGAACUUGUCUCCAAAGCUCAAUCAAUUCAUGUACAAAAUGUUGAUGAUGAUGUCUGUCUCACUGAUUUGUGACAGAAUUAAAUGCAAUGGUGUAUUUAAGGUAUUUAGAGCACAGUGACUAACACAUAGCAAAUGAUCUGGAAGU
Acinonyx jubatus (cheetah) is the source of this 4057-nucleotide long non-coding RNA. RefSeq lists it as uncharacterized. The transcript has 3 exons. NCBI's taxonomy places the organism in Eukaryota, Metazoa, Chordata, Mammalia, Carnivora, Felidae. The record is from RefSeq and is a predicted model, not a curated record.